GUGUCCCCAGGAGUUCUCUGCAAACACUUCACAAAGCACUUUUUUAGAGCUUUUGUGAAGUGUUUGGGGGAACUCUUGGUGCCAC
This 85-nucleotide microRNA precursor is filed under the name Sorghum bicolor (sorghum). Its description in RNAcentral is "mir-395 microRNA precursor family". It matches the Rfam family "mir-395 microRNA precursor family". From Rfam's summary of the family: mir-395 was identified in both Arabidopsis thaliana and Oryza sativa computationally and was later experimentally verified. mir-395 is thought to target mRNAs coding for ATP sulphurylases. The mature sequence is excised from the 3' arm of the hairpin. The record is from Rfam by way of RNAcentral. Lineage: Eukaryota; Viridiplantae; Streptophyta; Magnoliopsida; Poales; Poaceae.